RNAcentral lists this unclassified non-coding RNA (1715 nucleotides) under Hevea brasiliensis (rubber tree). The record is from RNAcentral. Lineage: Eukaryota; Viridiplantae; Streptophyta; Magnoliopsida; Malpighiales; Euphorbiaceae.
AAAAAAAAAAAAAAAAAGACAAAUAACAACAUAAGUUAAAACACAUUACUUUGCAUCUAUAGAUACUUAUUUAAACUUUUUAAAACUAGAAAUAGUCUUUUAGUCUCCUUGGUGCUCGUGCAUAACCACUUGCACAAUUAGUGCUUAGCAUUUUUGGAUGAGGGCCCUACUUCAUUCUUUCAAAGCAUGAAUACAAUCCUGGAUUUGUUGCAUGUAAUUUUCACCUCCUUCAGAACAAGAGCAUGUGGAUGUUUACAAAAGCCGACCAGGGUUGCUCUUGCUAAAGCUUGGCAUUCUCUACACGUUGAAUUACUUGCUCAAUUUCUUAAAAGUUUGUUUGCGUUAUCCAUAUCUACUCAAAAUGUCUAAGUGGCCUUUGCCAAAUACAAAUUAAACAAACUUCUAUUUAUACACCUUAGAAGUCUUUAACUUACCGGUAAUAAAGUUAUUCUUAUUUGAGUAAGAUGGUUCAAACUUUGCUUUCCUUGAAUAUGACACCCCAUCUAUUAGAUUUUGUUGAAUAAUUAUCUUUAAUUUGAGUAUAAAAGGCCCAACCUAAAGAGCGAAUGGUCCUUUAUAUUUUACGGGUUUCGAAACAUGACUUGACACUAAUGAGAAUUAAUUAGACUAGUACCUACCAAGAGCUAUCAAAAUACAUUCAGCUAAUUCUCACUCAACAGCUAGAAAGCAAGUCAGCACAAAAUCACGGGAUUUGUACUCGUUUAUGUACUCCACCACUAGCCAUCAAAGCACACUCCGUCAAUAGUCAAUCUUCAGCUCCUAACCCCAAGUACAAAACCACGUGAUUCGUCGUCUUGUGCCCCUUCAGCUUUGUCAUCCUCUAGCUACUCUAUAAUUGGCUUCUACAUAUCUUUUUUUACUAGCUUAUUUGCACCCAACUACAUUAUAAGUUCCCCUCAAUUAAUUCUCACUUGACAACUCCAUCAUUACCUACGUGAGACUGAAGCUAGCUCUCUUUAAUGAUCUAAUUAGAUGCUUGCUUUUUCCCCAGAAAAGACAAAUAAAACCCCUUUCCAACUCGCUUUAUCAGUCCACUAACACCAAUUGCACCAAGUUAUUAUAGCAUUAGCUAUAGCAAUAACCAAUACAAUGACUUAGGUGUUAAUCUUUAUCUCAAGAUACUUAAAGAAUUACUUAUAUUUUGGCCUAUUUACAAAAGAGUUAGAACAUAUUAAUAAGUUAGGUAAAUCCACCCAGUAAACUAAAAAAAUCUUUAGAAUAAAUAAAAAGGUAAAUCUACCAUAGGUAGAGAAUGUGGUUAAGUAAUGUAUUAAACAAACUCAAGUCUCUUAAGACAAGAUUUAUUUGUUAGAACAUCCUAGGUAAAGCCAAGCCCAGUGAAAGGAAUCGACAUAAGUUUUGUUGGAUUCAGCAAUGACUCAGUGUAUCCAGUGUUCCAAUCCCAUCCAAAAGAUAGUCAUUAACGAAACCUUUGGCUGUUGAUUACUAAUAGUAGAGAGGGUUUCAUACCAAUGGAAGCGUAUAUAUUAAUAGCGAUUUAUGAUGAACUCAAGAUUGAUUAAAACCACAGUUAAACUAAGUACAGCGAUAGGAGGCAUUUUAAAUUUCUUAUUUGAUAAUAUGCAAAAAUAUAGUUUAUGUACGAUAGAUUACAGUGUGGCAAAAUUAUGAUCAUAUUCUUUCAUAUCUAUAGGAAUAUUCAAUGAAGAGAUUGAUCAUGAUGAAGAUCAGGA